AUUGAACGCUGGCGGCAGGCCUAACACAUGCAAGUCGAGCGGAUGAAGGGAGCUUGCUCCUGGAUUCAGCGGCGGACGGGUGAGUAAUGCCUAGGAAUCUGCCUGGUAGUGGGGGAUAACGUCCGGAAACGGGCGCUAAUACCGCAUACGUCCUGAGGGAGAAAGUGGGGGAUCUUCGGACCUCACGCUAUCAGAUGAGCCUAGGUCGGAUUAGCUAGUUGGUGGGGUAAAGGCCUACCAAGGCGACGAUCCGUAACUGGUCUGAGAGGAUGAUCAGUCACACUGGAACUGAGACACGGUCCAGAAUCCUAAGGGAGGCAGCAGUGGGGAAUAUUGGACAAUGGGCGAAAGCCUGAUCCAGACAUGACGCGUGUGUGAAGAAGGUCUUCGGAUUGUAAAGCACUUUAAGUUGGGAGGAAGGGAAGUAAGUUAAUACCUUGCUGUUUUGACGUUACCAACAGAAUAAGCACCGGCUAACUUCGUG
Molecule: ribosomal RNA, 484 nt
Filed under: uncultured bacterium
Lineage: Bacteria
Description: partial 16S ribosomal RNA
Rfam family: Bacterial small subunit ribosomal RNA
Source: RNAcentral